RNAcentral lists this ribosomal RNA (253 nucleotides) under uncultured bacterium. RNAcentral's name for it is "partial 16S ribosomal RNA". It matches the Rfam family "Bacterial small subunit ribosomal RNA", at positions 524 to 776 of the family's 1533-position model. The record is from RNAcentral.
UACGUAGGGACCAAGCGUUGUUCGGAUUUACUGGGCGUAAAGGGCGCGUAGGCGGCAAUUCAAGUCAUCCGUGAAAUCUCCGAGCUUAACUCGGAACGGUCAGAUGAUACUGCUUUGCUAGAGUGCAGAAGGGGCAACCGGAAUUCUUGGUGUAGCGGUGAAAUGCGUAGAUAUCAAGAGGAACACCGGAGGUGAAGACGGGUUGCUGGGCUGACACUGACGCUGAGGCGCGAAAGCGUGGGGAGCAAACAGG